Molecule: unclassified non-coding RNA, 197 nt
Filed under: uncultured fungus
Lineage: Eukaryota; Fungi
Description: sequence contains ITS1
Source: RNAcentral
UUGACUUAUUGUAUAAGUUACUCAGAGAGGCCAGUGGUUACUAAGAGUUUCGGUCCUCUGACGGGUUGCCGGCCCCGGUUGGGGGGCCGGCGCGGCCCCGGAGAGGGCCACCCGCCGAAGCAACGGUGAGGUAGGUUCACAAUGGUUGGGAGUUUUGCAACUCUGUAAUGAUCCCUCCGCUGGUUCACCAACGGAGA